CCUACGGGGAGCAGCAGUGGGGGAUAUUGCACAAUGGGGGGAACCCUGAUGCAGCGACGCCGCGUGGGUGAAGAAGCGCCUCGGCGCGUAAAGCCCUGUCAGCAGGGAAGAAAAUGACGGUACCUGAAGAAGAAGCCCCGGCUAACUACGUGCCAGCAGCCGCGGGAAUACGUAGGGGGCAAGCGUUAUCCGGAUUUACUGGGUGUAAAGGGGGCGCAGACGGCGAUGCAAGCCAGGAGUGAAAGCCCGGGGCCCAACCCCGGGACUGCUCUUGGGACUGCGUGGCUGGAGUGCAGGAGGGGCAGGCGGAAUUCCUGGUGUAGCGGUGAAAUGCGUAGAUAUCAGGAGGAACACCGGGGGCGAAGGCGGCCUGCUGGACUGCAACUGACGUUGAGGCCCGAAAGUGUGGGUAUCAAACAGGAUUAGAUACCCGGGUAGUC
Molecule: ribosomal RNA, 440 nt
Filed under: uncultured bacterium
Lineage: Bacteria
Description: partial 16S ribosomal RNA
Rfam family: Bacterial small subunit ribosomal RNA
Source: RNAcentral